Molecule: long non-coding RNA, 1867 nt
Organism: Nymphaea colorata (pocket water lily)
Lineage: Eukaryota; Viridiplantae; Streptophyta; Magnoliopsida; Nymphaeales; Nymphaeaceae
Exons: 8
Source: RefSeq, a predicted model, not a curated record
CCAAAACAAGAAAUGGCGGCAAGCUUUCUCAGUGUACUUUUUGUUGUGGGGCUUCCCAGUGUACUUUUUGUUGUAGGGCUUCCCAAGAGCAUGUUAUUUAUUUCCCCAUCAUCAUCGUCAUCCCCCUUUAUUCGCUGUCGUCCCUUUUGUUUAGAUCACCUUCUUCCUCGCAAUGGAGGUCGUUUAUUGAUCGGAGGCCUCUGGAUGAAGAGGAGGCGGGGCAGAGGUCGACGAGGAAUUAGCGUGAAACGGGUACAUUCUGUUGAACGACUCUGUUUUGGAAGGUGGAUCGAGGUUCGUCAUUUCCGUUCCCUGGUGGUAUCCCAUCGUACGUUCUAAUCGGUGCGGAAGAGGAAGAUGAGUGGACAAGGCCGUGAUUCGUUCGGGCGUUUUGGGCUCCCAAGAUCCCAUCAUCUAUCGUCUCCCCCAUCAUCCAUCGUCAGCCCCUCUAUUGGCUGUCGUCCUUUUUGUCUAGAUCACAGUCUUCCAAUCUUCCUCGCAAUGGAGGUCGUUUCUUGAUCGGGGGCCUCUGGAUGAAGAGGAGGCGGGGGCAGAGGUCGACGAGGAAUUAGCGUGAAACGGGCACAUUCUGUGGAACGCCUCUGUUUUGGAAAGUGGUUCGAGGUUUGUCAUUUCCGUUCCCUGGUGGUAUCCCAUCGUACGCUCUAAUUGGCGUGGAAGAGGAAGAUGAGUGGACAAGGCCGUGAUUUGUUCGGGGUUUUGAUAUAGCUAACACUUUCUAUCUCUCUCUCUACUAUAUGAAGAUAGUUACAUUCGUAAAGAACGAACAACUCAGCUUACAAUGCUUUGCCGGACUAACAAGGCACGAUGGACUAUUGUGACGUGAGGGGGGCAAGGCCGCAAGGGUAGAUAUUUUGAGUCUUGAAUAAUUCAUUAAGGGCUUCAGAGGCAACUGAUACAAGAGCUAGCAUGAGGAGAUGUUGAUUUUAUCUCCUCUGGAAAUUCAGUUUUGACAUAAAAUAAGUAAAUAAAACGGCAAAGACAACAGGUGCAUGUUUGAUUAAUGACAAGUCGGAGAGUCAAUGCAACUGUGCAACAGAAGAAGAUUUAAGGCAUAAGUACCACCUCUUGUGGCGUGCUCAUGAUAAUAAGAGGACACCAAGAAUCACAGAGGUGAUGGUUAUAUAUGUCAAACGGACCAAAUUAUAUGAAGGACUUCGCCAAUAUGACAGGUUUUUGGAUCCCAAUGUCAAAAAAGGAUGUCAUUCUUGAGUCCCAGCCGAAGGAGCAGAAAGGAAAUUGGUGCUAACUGGUCCAAUUCAGUCAAUCAAUUAUAAUUGCCCUGAAGUCAUAACAUGAUAUAUCAAGGAACUGGGUGCCAUGGUCAUUACAUUUAACUUGGCUAAGAACAGAAGAAGCUUUGCCCAGUUCUCCUACGAAAUUGCAGAUGACUGUUCUUCCAGUGCGAACCACAUUUUUCACUGCACGCAUGACAAUUGCUGCUGCCCUGGCAUCCAGACCAGACGUGGGCUCAUCCAAGAAAAUUAUUGAUGGAUUUGCAACAAGCUCAACUGCAAUUGUUAAGCGCUUGCGUUGCUCUGUUGAGAGACCACUGACACCUGAUUCCAGAUGGAGCCCGACUUUUUAUUUUCUGGUAAUGAAGGGGAUACAUUCACAAGCUCAACUGUCUAACCAUAACUGACCCUCGUGCCUUUAUUUUAUAUUUUUGUUUUCCGGAAAAGAAACAGUGAAUUCCUAGCAGACUCCAGUAAGGAUGGAAAUUGUCUUUGGCUUUUGAGGCCGAAAAGGUUGCCAGUUGUCCUAUGUAAGCAGUUGAUUGCUUCAGACUCAUAGCAGUCAUAGAUGCUGAAUACUUGAAUUAAAUGAAGGUAUAUAUAGCUGUCUA